GACGAACGCUGGCGGCGUGCUUAACACAUGCCAGUCGAACGGAAAGGCCCUGCUUUUGUGGGGUGCUCGAGUGGCGAACGGGUGAGUAACACGUGAGUAACCUGCCCUUGACUUUGGGAUAACUUCAGGAAACUGGGGCUAAUACCGGAUAGGAGCUCCUGCUGCAUGGUGGGGGUUGGAAAGUUUCGGCGGUUGGGGAUGGACUCGCGGCUUAUCAGCUUGUUGGUGGGGUAGUGGCUUACCAAGGCUUUGACGGGUAGCCGGCCUGAGAGGGUGACCGGCCACAUUGGGCCUGAGAUACGGCCCAGACUCCUACGGGAGGCAGCAGUGGGGAAUAUUGCACAAUGGGCGGAAGCCUGAUGAAGAAACGCCGCGUGCGGGGUGACGGCCUUCGGGUUGUAAACCGCUUUAGCCUGUGACGAAGCGUGAGUGACGGUAAUGGGUAAAGAAGCACCGGCUAACUACGUG
RNAcentral lists this ribosomal RNA (468 nucleotides) under uncultured bacterium. RNAcentral describes it as "partial 16S ribosomal RNA". It matches the Rfam family "Bacterial small subunit ribosomal RNA", at positions 28 to 507 of the family's 1533-position model. The record is from RNAcentral.